UAGGGAAUCUUGGACAAUGGGCGAAAGCCUGAUCCAGCCAUGCCGCGUGUGUGAUGAAGGCCUUAGGGUUGUAAAGCACUUUCGCUAGGGAAGAUAAUGACGGUACCUAGAUAAGAAGCCCCGGCUAACUUCGUGCCAGCAGCCGCGGUAAUACGAAGGGGGCUAGCGUUGUUCGGAAUUACUGGGCGUAAAGCGCACGUAGGCGGCAGUCCAAGUUGGAGGUGAAAUCCCCUGGCUUAACCUGGGAACUGCCUCCAAAACUGGGAAGCUAGAGUCCGAGAGAGGUGAGUGGAAUUUCCAGUGUAGAGGUGAAAUUCGUAGAUAUUGGAAAGAACACCAGUGGCGAAGGCGGCUCACUGGCUCGGUACUGACGCUGAGGAGCGACAGCGUGGGGAGCAAACAGG
RNAcentral lists this ribosomal RNA (404 nucleotides) under uncultured prokaryote. RNAcentral describes it as "bacterial SSU rRNA". It matches the Rfam family "Bacterial small subunit ribosomal RNA", at positions 355 to 776 of the family's 1533-position model. RNAcentral also lists the same sequence under 1 other name. The record is from RNAcentral.